Molecule: long non-coding RNA, 1020 nt
Organism: Triticum aestivum (bread wheat)
Lineage: Eukaryota; Viridiplantae; Streptophyta; Magnoliopsida; Poales; Poaceae
Exons: 2
Source: RefSeq, a predicted model, not a curated record
CCUCUUCUCUGCUGCGCAUCCAACCUCCCUCCCUCCUCCAGAAAUCUAAUCUCUCUCACUCGUAUCAGCCGUUCGCCACGUCCAUCGCCGGUGGUGGUCUGACGCCCCUUGGUUCGCCGGCCGAUCCUACGAGUCAUCUCCUUCCGCAUCAGCAACCAUGAGAUUCAGCCGGCGGUCACGUCGUCUCGUCGUGCAAUCCAAGCUACAGAUUCUUCUUCACGGCGGCACGACGCGAGUGGUUGUGCGGGCUACUACCGCUAAGGCCUGCGAAUGGACCAUCCUAUCCUAUCCUGCUGGCUCCAGCCCGCCUCCGAAACGUAGCCCAGGUACGUGUUACACAUUUGGGCCCACUGUCCAGUUCCCAUUCAUUCACCACCCGAAGCUUAACCUAGCCGAUGUCCCUCCACAACACCCGCCGUCAUUUCCGCUCGAGCUAGUGUCCCCCUUGACAGAGAGGAGAAGAGCGGCUCCUCCUCCCCCUCGACGCCAAGCCAACACUAACCAGCAGUCAGUCAGGCCAAGCCAAGCAGCAGGCAGGUGACGGGAUUUUUUCUUCUGCAACCCCUCCUAAACUCCUCCUGCUAUUAGUACAAGGGGACUACUUCCCUCUGUUCCUUUGCAAGAUGAAGUAGGGCACCGAACCCCCCCCCUCCUCAUUCUCUUUUGCUAGCUCUUCCUUGUUCCUCACUGGACGCACGCGAAAAAAAGCACUAAGUAGGCAUUGUGCCGUCCGUGGGAGGCCCUCCCCUGCCUCCUCCUGUCCUCCUUUGAGGCUCAUCUCUAAUAGGCUUUGACUUCUUUAGAAUCAAUUCAUGUUAACUCUUUCAGAUCUAUAGUCAGUAUUUGAAUGUGAUAGUCGAAUGGAGUAUCUUCUUGUCAUUAUAGUUUAUAGAUUUUCUGCAAGCUUGUUGACUUUACUCCUUUGCUACUGCAUAUAUGAAAGCAGUGUCUUGUUAGCAUUAAGGCAACUAGUAAUGCACUUAUUUAUCAGAUGAAUUAUGUGAUAGUAUUCUUUCUUUC